Molecule: ribosomal RNA, 781 nt
Filed under: Pseudomonas aeruginosa
Lineage: Bacteria; Pseudomonadati; Pseudomonadota; Gammaproteobacteria; Pseudomonadales; Pseudomonadaceae
Description: bacterial SSU rRNA
Rfam family: Bacterial small subunit ribosomal RNA
Source: RNAcentral
UCUCCCCUCCCCGCCUUUUUAAGGGUUUUUAACAAGCUCAGAUUGAACGCUGGCGGCAGGCCUAACACAUGCAAGUCGAGCGGAUGAAGGGAGCUUGCUCCUGGAUUCAGCGGCGGACGGGUGAGUAAUGCCUAGGAAUCUGCCUGGUAGUGGGGGAUAACGUCCGGAAACGGGCGCUAAUACCGCAUACGUCCUGAGGGAGAAAGUGGGGGAUCUUCGGACCUCACGCUAUCAGAUGAGCCUAGGUCGGAUUAGCUAGUUGGUGGGGUAAAGGCCUACCAAGGCGACGAUCCGUAACUGGUCUGAGAGGAUGAUCAGUCACACUGGAACUGAGACACGGUCCAGACUCCUACGGGAGGCAGCAGUGGGGAAUAUUGGACAAUGGGCGAAAGCCUGAUCCAGCCAUGCCGCGUGUGUGAAGAAGGUCUUCGGAUUGUAAAGCACUUUAAGUUGGGAGGAAGGGCAGUAAGUUAAUACCUUGCUGUUUUGACGUUACCAACAGAAUAAGCACCGGCUAACUUCGUGCCAGCAGCCGCGGUAAUACGAAGGGUGCAAGCGUUAAUCGGAAUUACUGGGCGUAAAGCGCGCGUAGGUGGUUCAGCAAGUUGGAUGUGAAAUCCCCGGGCUCAACCUGGGAACUGCAUCCAAAACUACUGAGCUAGAGUACGGUAGAGGGUGGUGGAAUUUCCUGUGUAGCGGUGAAAUGCGUAGAUAUAGGAAGGAACACCAGUGGCGAAGGCGACCACCUGGACUGAUACUGACACUGAGGGCGAAAGACGCC